RNAcentral lists this long non-coding RNA (908 nucleotides) under Hordeum vulgare. RNAcentral's name for it is "long non-coding RNA (HVUL_LNC007896)". Lineage: Eukaryota; Viridiplantae; Streptophyta; Magnoliopsida; Poales; Poaceae. The record is from RNAcentral.
UAAACGCGAGCUACGCCUCCAAAUUUCGAGCAGAGCAGAGCAGAGUCAUCAGACGUAUCGAGCCUCUAAAUAAUAAAAUCAGUAAAGAGAGAUUUUGAUUCACAGGUUUAUUUUUAAACUAAAAAUAAUCAGUAAGGGCACGUACAAACGAACAGACGCAUUUAAUUACACGGAUGAACAGACGGAUGGGUGCAGGCGUGCAGCACACGCACUGCAUCUGCACAUCCAAAUUACACACACGAACAAAAAAACUCGAUACUUGUUCAAACGCAGCAGCAUACGCGUGCGCAGGAGCUCCGGGCGGCCGGCCGAUGCGAUCGACCCAUACUGCGCAACCACCAAAUGAGCAUGCACGCAUGCAUGCAAGCAUGGGGUAACCGGAUACGUAGAUUAUUUAAUUAGUACUCGACGGCAGCGAAGGGUCGUCCAUCAGAAGUCGCCGGCAGCGGUGCUGGCUUCCCCCCCUUUGCCGCCCUUGCCGCCCUCGGCGUGGUUCAUGCUGAAGCUGUUGAGGCUGCGGCCGCCGGCGCCGCCGUUCAUGGAGAAGCUGUCCUUGCCCACGCCCGUGGCGGCCUCCACCGGCUCCGCGGUGUGGCUGAGAAGCAGGAGGCCUAGCAGGGCCAGGCCGAGCAGGGUCAUGCGCAGCUCGUUGUUCCUUGCGCCCGCCAUUGAUGCCUGUGGAAGAUUGCGAGAUCGCGCGGAUGGAGGUGGGAUUAACUGAUUUGGAUUAUUCGCGAGCUGCGGUGGUGGGUGGAGGAAGGAGGAGGUGUUCUUGAGGAUUUAUAGUGGGAGGAGAAGGCGAGAGGGGUGGUGGAACAACUUUGGCUAAACUUGGCUAAAAAAUUGAGGCUGAGAGGCACACUAAUUGUUGUCAUGCACCCAGCUAGUUAAAAAUAGCAAUGCGCAAG